UGGGGAAUAUUGGGCAAUGGAGGAAACUCUGACCCAGCGACGCCGCGUGCGGGAUGAAGGCCUUCGGGUUGUAAACCGCUUUCAGUAGGGAAGAAGCGAAAGUGACGGUACCUACAAAAGAAGCACCGGCUAACUAUGUGCCAGCAGCCGCGGUAAUACAUAGGGUGCAAGCGUUGUCCGGAAUUAUUGGGCGUAAAGAGCUCGUAGGUCGUUUGUUACGUCGGAUGUGAAAACCUGAGGCUCAACCUCAGGCCUGCAUUCGAUACGGGCAAACUAGAGUUUGGUAGGGGAGACUGGAAUUCCUGGUGUAGCGGUGGAAUGCGCAGAUAUCAGGAGGAACACCAAUGGCGAAGGCAGGUCUCUGGGCCAAUACUGACACUGAGGGGCGAAAGUCUGGGGAGCGAACAGGAUUAGAUACCCUGGUAGUCCAGACCGUAAACGGUGGGCACUAGUUGUGGGAACCUUCCACGGUUUCUGCGACGCAGCUAACGCAUUAAGUGCCCCGCCUGGGGAGUACGAUCGCAAGAUUA
RNAcentral lists this ribosomal RNA (530 nucleotides) under uncultured prokaryote. Its description in RNAcentral is "bacterial SSU rRNA". It matches the Rfam family "Bacterial small subunit ribosomal RNA", at positions 355 to 896 of the family's 1533-position model. The record is from RNAcentral.